AUUGGUCCUCCAGGUGUGUAUCGAUUAAUAACCUUUAAGUCUAGCUAGUAGCAUAGGACUUGAUAUUUUGAACCAUACAAGAGGCAUACCCUAUUCAAAGGUCUUGCAUUGUUCAUGUGAUCAUUCAGCCAUAGUGAUUUACAGCGUUGUAUGCUCACUUUGAGCACUACAUACAGCUCAUAUAUCAGUCUUGGACCACUAAAUAUAGGUUCAGGAGGGGAGCCCCUUUAAUCUAUUGCAAACAGGAAUUUAGACAUUUGUGCGCCAAAACUAAAGGACAUUCCAUGCCGUCCUAAUGGUGUUACAUAUUGCAGGACAGCAUGCGAUAUCCUAACAGUGGCAGGGGAUUAGGUGGUUUUGGUGUAUAUGCCAUGCACCUGCAUCUCACUGCUCAAUUAUCUGCCAUUUAGGACUUAAAGGAACACUCCAAACAUUUAGAGCACUUUAUGUUUGAAGAGUUUGCCCUUUUUUUAAAUGUUACAAAUGUUUCAUUGAGCUGCAUUGGGAAGUCUGUGAUUGGACAGCCACAGCUGGGUUAGAAUAGGAGGGCUUGCAAAGUCACAGACAACAAUGUGCAACUUUUUCAAGCUGUUUUUAGAUAUAACCUCAAUGGAAAAAAAUGCAUAAUUAAAUGCAUGCAUGUUUUCACUGUGGGUCAAUCUACUAAAUAGUGAUUUUUUUUUUAUGUGAGCAGUGGAAAGUUCCUUUAAAUCACUUUAUUUAUUCAAACAAUGUCACAACUCUUCUGCCUAUAACACAGUCUCGCUACACAGUUCCUGAAAAAAGCCUACGUUUUCUUUUAGCUUCCCUUAUUGCACAGUUAAUUUGGAAUUUCGUAUAUGCGCUGUUAAUCGCCUGCAACAACCUUCUCUAUGUGAUUAAAGUCCAACUAACCGUGCAGGUGAUAAGAUGUUGUAAAGUAAACACACUGUGCUGUAAGAUCUGAUUGAAAAUGAAACCAAUUUUUUCCCCACUAUGUGAGACACAGGCAGGAGAGGUGUGAUUAGAGCUAUAUAAACAGAAACAAAACGUGACGCCUUAAUGGCAGAGAAUUGAGAAGUGAGACUUUGUGGACAUGCACCAAAACUACCUAAGUUCUUGGGUUGCUUAGAGCGUC
Molecule: non-coding RNA, 1117 nt
Organism: Pelobates cultripes (western spadefoot toad)
Lineage: Eukaryota; Metazoa; Chordata; Amphibia; Anura; Pelobatidae
Source: the annotation of a GenBank genome assembly